CGGAGGAUCCAAGCGUUAUCCGGAUUUAUUGGGUUUAAAGGGUGCGUAGGCGGCUUAUUAAGUCAGGGGUGAAAGACGGUGGCUCAACCAUCGCAGUGCCUUUGAUACUGAUGAGCUUGAAUACACUAGAGGUAGGCGGAAUGUGACAAGCAGCGGUGAAAUGCAUAGAUAUGUCACAGAACACCGAUUGCGAAGGCAGCUUACUAUGGUGUCAUUGACGCUGAGGCACGAAAGCGUGGGGAUCAAACAGGAUU
Molecule: ribosomal RNA, 254 nt
Filed under: uncultured bacterium
Lineage: Bacteria
Description: partial 16S ribosomal RNA
Rfam family: Bacterial small subunit ribosomal RNA
Source: RNAcentral